CUAAGGUCGUAGGAGGUUAUACAGGCAAAUCCGUAUAACAAUACUCCGAGAACUGAAAGGCUUUUUGAAGUCUUCGGAUGGAUAGAAGAACCCCUGAUGCCGUCGAGCCAAGAAAAGUUUCUAAGUUUAGCUAAUGUUGCCCGUACCGUAAACCGACACAGGUGGGUGGGAUGAGUAUUCUAAGGCGCGUGGAAGAACUCUCUUUAAGGAACUCUGCAAAAUAGCACCGUAUCUUCGGUAUAAGGUGUGGUUAGCUUUGUAUUAGGAUUUACUCCGAAAGCAAGGAAACUUACAACAAAGAGUCCCUCCCGACUGUUUACCAAAAACACAGCACUCUGCUAACUCGUAAGAGGAUGUAUAGGGUGUGACGCCUGCCCGGUGCUCGAAGGUUAAUUGAUGGGGUUAGCAUUAGCGAAGCUCUUGAUCGAAGCCCGAGUAAACGGCGGCCGUAACUAUAACGGUCCUAAGGUAGCGAAAUUCCUUGUCGGUUAAAUACCGACCUGCAUGAAUGGCGUAACGAGAUGGGAGCUGUCUCAAAGAGGGAUCCAGUGAAAUUGUAGUGGAGGUGAAAAUUCCUCCUACCCGCGGCAAGACGGAAAGACCCCGUGGACCUUUACUACAGCUUGACACUGCUACUUGGAUAAGAAUGUGCAGGAUAGGUGGGAGGCUUUGAGUAUAUGACGCCAGUUGUAUAUGAGCCAUUGUUGAGAUACCACUCUUUCUUAUUUGGGUAGCUAACCAGCUUGAGUUAUCCUCAAGUGGGACAAUGUCUGGUGGGUAGUUUGACUGGGGCGGUCGCCUCCCAAAUAAUAACGGAGGCUUACAAAGGUUGGCUCAGAACGGUUGGAAAUCGUUCGUAGAGUAUAAAGGUAUAAGCCAGCUUAACUGCAAGACAUACAAGUCAAGCAGAGACGAAAGUCGGUCUUAGUGAUCCGGUGGUUCUGUGUGGAAGGGCCAUCGCUCAAAGGAUAAAAGGUACCCCGGGGAUAACAGGCUGAUCUCCCCCAAGAGCUCACAUCGACGGGGAGGUUUGGCACCUCGAUGUCGGCUCAUCGCAUCCUGGGGCUGGAGCAGGUCCCAAGGGUAUGGCUGUUCGCCAUUUAAAGCGGUACGCGAGCUGGGUUCAGAACGUCGUGAGACAGUUCGGUCCCUAUCUGCCGUGGGCGUAAGAAGAUUGAAGAGAUUUGACCCUAGUACGAGAGGACCGGGUUGAACAAACCACUGGUGUAGCUGUUGUUCUGCCAAGAGCAUCGCAGCGUAGCUAAGUUUGGAAAGGAUAAACGCUGAAAGCAUCUAAGCGUGAAGCCAACUCUAAGAUGAAUCUUCUCUAAGCUCUCUAGAAGACUACUAGUUUGAUAGGCUGGGUGUGUAAUGGAUGAAAGUCCUUUAGCUGACCAGUACUAAUAGAGCGUUUGGCUUAUCUUU
RNAcentral lists this ribosomal RNA (1425 nucleotides) under Campylobacter jejuni. Its description in RNAcentral is "partial 23S ribosomal RNA". It matches the Rfam family "Bacterial large subunit ribosomal RNA", at positions 1512 to 2925 of the family's 2925-position model. Lineage: Bacteria; Pseudomonadati; Campylobacterota; Epsilonproteobacteria; Campylobacterales; Campylobacteraceae. The record is from RNAcentral.